AUGUGAUCGUCUCUCGCAUAUCAAUAAGCGGAGGAAAAGAAACUAACAAGGAUUCCCCUAGUAACGGCGAGUGAAGCGGGAAGAGCUCAAAUUUGAAAUCUUAAAGGGUUUCCCUUUACGAAUUGUAGUUUAAAGAAGUGUUUUCUGUUGAGGUUUUGGUAAAAGUUCUUUGGAAUAGGACAUCAUAGAGGGUGAGAAUCCCGUAUUUGACCUUUACUUUCAACUUUGUGAUACACUUUCAAAGAGUCGGAUUGUUUGGGAAUGCAGUCCAAAAUGGGUGGUAAAUUUCAUCUAAAGCUAAAUAUUGGCGAGAGACCGAUAGCGAACAAGUACCGUGAGGGAAAGAUGAAAAGAACUUUGAAAAGAGAGUUAAACAGUACGUGAAAUUGUCAAAAGGGAAGCGUUUGACACCAGUGUUGUUUUUCUGAAAAUCAAUUAAAGAACUGUUUAUGCUAAGCUGUUUAGACUUUAUCAGCUAUCUGUUUAGUUUUGAGCUUUUCUUUAAUGCACUUUUCAGUUAACAAGUCAACAUCAAUUUCUUUUGCUGUAAAAAAGCUUGAGGAAGGUGGCUUGAGAUUCGUCUUAAGUGUUUAUAGCCUCUUGCCUAUGCAGUCGGAGAGAUUGAGGUCUGCAGCGUAGAUCCUUCGGGGCUAAAUGCAUUUGUGCUAAGUUAUAGCAUUUUAUAGACAACUUGUUGACUAUGAUUUGUCUUGUAGCUUACUCGCUUAUGUUAUUUUACCUACGCUUAGGAUGUUGAGCGCAUGUCUCUCUCU
RNAcentral lists this ribosomal RNA (773 nucleotides) under uncultured Neocallimastigales. RNAcentral's name for it is "partial large subunit ribosomal RNA". It matches the Rfam family "Eukaryotic large subunit ribosomal RNA", at positions 24 to 616 of the family's 3401-position model. Lineage: Eukaryota; Fungi; Neocallimastigomycota; Neocallimastigomycetes; Neocallimastigales. The record is from RNAcentral.